RNAcentral lists this ribosomal RNA (331 nucleotides) under Mansonia uniformis. RNAcentral's name for it is "eukaryotic LSU rRNA". It matches the Rfam family "Eukaryotic large subunit ribosomal RNA", at positions 675 to 965 of the family's 3401-position model. Lineage: Eukaryota; Metazoa; Arthropoda; Insecta; Diptera; Culicidae. The record is from RNAcentral.
UUGCACUGCCGCAGCCAUGGUCCCGUACGCGAGCACCAUAGGCGCAAAAAACAUAACUCUACUGGUUGUGCGGGAUUACGGGCGAGACUCUCUGCUCGUUCCUCCAUCCCCGGGUGUUAUACCAGGCAUGCGGUGCGCAAGCAUCGUGCCAUAACAUACCGCCAGUGUGCAGGAUGUGACCCGAAAGAUGGUGAACUAUGCCUGAUCAGGUUGAAGUCAGGGGAAACCCUGAUGGAGGACCGAAGCAAUUCUGACGUGCAAAUCGAUUGUCAGAAUUGGGCAUAGGGGCGAAAGACCAAUCGAACCAUCUAGUAGCUGGUUUCCUUCCGAA